This 414-nucleotide ribosomal RNA is filed under the name uncultured bacterium. RNAcentral describes it as "bacterial SSU rRNA". It matches the Rfam family "Bacterial small subunit ribosomal RNA", at positions 28 to 430 of the family's 1533-position model. The record is from RNAcentral.
GAUGAACGCUAGCGACAGGCCUAACACAUGCAAGUCGAGGGGCAGCAUGAAAUUAGCUUGCUAAUUUUGAUGGCGACCGGCGCACGGGUGAGUAACACGUAUGCAACCUGCCUGUAAGCGGGGGAUAACCCGGAGAAAUUCGGACUAAUACCGCAUAAUAUCAUUAAUUCGCAUGUUUUAAUGAUUAAAAAUUUAUUGCUUACAGAUGGGCAUGCGUAUGAUUAGCUAGUUGGCGGGGUAACGGCCCACCAAGGCGACGAUCAUUAGGGGUUCUGAGAGGAAGGUCCCCCACAUUGGAACUGAGACACGGGUCCAAACUCCUACGGGAGGCAGCAGUGAGGAAUAUUGGUCAAUGGACGAGAGUCUGAACCAGCCAUGUCGCGUGAAGGAUGACUGUCCCUAUGGAUUGUAAAC